UGAGUAAGUCAGAUAGUCGCGUCGGGCAAAUUUCCCGACGAGGAAAGUCCGAGCUGCAAAGGGCAAGGGUGCCGGGUAACUCCCGGUAGAGGCGACUCUAAGGAUAGUGCAACAGAAAGAAACUACUGCAUUUUGCAGUACAGGUGGAAAGGUGAGGUAAAAGCUCACCGGCGGUAAGGCGACUUACCGGCCGUGUAAACCCCAUCCGCAGCAACACCGACAGGGGUGCCUGCCCGGCAUAUACCCCGAAGGGUGGCUUGAGCGACAUAGUAAUGUGCCGCCUAGAUAGAUGGCUGUCAAAUACAGAACUCGGCUUACAGACUUGCUCAUAUU
RNAcentral lists this RNase P RNA (333 nucleotides) under Clostridiaceae bacterium. Its description in RNAcentral is "RNase P RNA component class A". It matches the Rfam family "Bacterial RNase P class A". Rfam says of the family: Ribonuclease P (RNase P) is a ubiquitous endoribonuclease, found in archaea, bacteria and eukarya as well as chloroplasts and mitochondria. Its best characterised activity is the generation of mature 5'-ends of tRNAs by cleaving the 5'-leader elements of precursor-tRNAs. The record is from RNAcentral. Lineage: Bacteria; Bacillati; Bacillota; Clostridia; Eubacteriales; Clostridiaceae.